CGGGACACGUGGUAUCCUGUCUGAAUAUGGGGGGACCAUCCUCCAAGGCUAAAUACUCCUGACUGACCGAUAGUGAACCAGUACCGUGAGGGAAAGGCGAAAAGAACCCCGGCGAGGGGAGUGAAAAAGAACCUGAAACCGUGUACGUACAAGCAGUGGGAGCCUCUUAAUGGGGUGACUGCGUACCUUUUGUAUAAUGGGUCAGCGACUUAUAUUCUGUAGCAAGGUUAACCGAAUAGGGGAGCCGAAGGGAAACCGAGUCUUAACUGGGCGUUAAGUUGCAGGGUAUAGACCCGAAACCCGGUGAUCUAGCCAUGGGCAGGUUGAAGGUUGGGUAACACUAACUGGAGGACCGAACCGACUAAUGUUGAAAAAUUAGCGGAUGACUUGUGGCUGGGGGUGAAAGGCCAAUCAAACCGGGAGAUAGCUGGUUCUCCCCGAAAGCUAUUUAGGUAGCGCCUCGUGAAUUCAUCUCCGGGGGUAGAGCACUGUUUCGGCAAGG
RNAcentral lists this ribosomal RNA (502 nucleotides) under Escherichia coli. RNAcentral's name for it is "partial 23S ribosomal RNA". It matches the Rfam family "Bacterial large subunit ribosomal RNA", at positions 418 to 923 of the family's 2925-position model. The record is from RNAcentral. Lineage: Bacteria; Pseudomonadati; Pseudomonadota; Gammaproteobacteria; Enterobacterales; Enterobacteriaceae.